UAUAAAAGUUGGCAAACUUCGCGAAAGUGAAGGACGCAAAGCUAUGGGUCUACGGCCAGGGGAGGUUAUGAUUGCCAGGUUGCGGUU
Molecule: non-coding RNA, 87 nt
Filed under: Thermincola carboxydiphila JR
Lineage: Bacteria; Bacillati; Bacillota; Clostridia; Eubacteriales; Thermincolaceae
Also listed under: 1 other name
Description: Thermincola potens JR c-di-GMP-I riboswitch aptamer
Rfam family: c-di-GMP-I riboswitch aptamer
About the family: GEMM was predicted in a large-scale screen for bacterial structured RNA regulatory elements. Genes associated with GEMM are involved in a diverse array of functions, including chemotaxis regulation, signal transduction, secretion and chitin.
Source: Rfam by way of RNAcentral